AGGCGUCGAGUGGCGGACGGGUGAGUAACGCGUGAGAAACUUGCCCCAUAACCUGGGAUAACUGCUUGAAAAGGCAGCUAAUACCGGAUAAGCUCCCACCAAGGCAUCUUGGAGAGAGAAAAGAUUACGUUAUGGGAGAGUCUCGCGUCCUAUUAGCUAGUUGGUGAGGUAAUGGCUCACCAAGGCGACGAUAGGUAGCCGGCCUGAGAGGGUGAUCGGCCACAAGGGAACUGAGACACGGUCCUUACUCC
Molecule: ribosomal RNA, 251 nt
Filed under: uncultured bacterium
Lineage: Bacteria
Description: partial 16S ribosomal RNA
Rfam family: Bacterial small subunit ribosomal RNA
Source: RNAcentral